RNAcentral lists this ribosomal RNA (497 nucleotides) under uncultured bacterium. Its description in RNAcentral is "partial 16S ribosomal RNA". It matches the Rfam family "Bacterial small subunit ribosomal RNA", at positions 28 to 507 of the family's 1533-position model. The record is from RNAcentral.
GAUGAACGCUGGCGGCGUGCCUAAUACAUGCAAGUCGAGCGAACAGAUAAGGAGCUUGCUCCUUUGACGUUAGCGGCGGACGGGUGAGUAACACGUGGGUAACCUACCUAUAAGACUGGAAUAACUCCGGGAAACCGGGGCUAAUGCCGGAUAACAUUUAGAACCGCAUGGUUCUAAAGUGAAAGAUGGUUUUGCUAUCACUUAUAGAUGGACCCGCGCCGUAUUAGCUAGUUGGUAAGGUAACGGCUUACCAAGGCAACGAUACGUAGCCGACCUGAGAGGGUGAUCAGCCACACUGGAACUGAGACACGGUCCAGACUCCUACGGGAGGCAGCAGUAGAGAAUCUUCCGCAAUGUGCGAAAGCCUGACGGAGCAACGCCGCGUGAGUGAUGAAGGUCUUCGGAUCGUAAAACUCUGUUAUUAGUGAAGAACAAAUGUGUAAGUAACUGUGCACGUCUUGACGGUACCUAAUCAGAAAGCCACGGCUAACUACGUG